AGGAGUAUAAAACAAGAAAUAUACUCACUGGAGAAGCAGCCUGGGAGCAGGAUGCAAAUGGCAACGGCCAGGGCCAAGCAGCCACUGGUUCGGGAUGGGAGCAGGAUGCAAAUGGCAAUGGCCAGGGCCAAGCAGCCACUGGUUCGGGACGGGUGACAAGAUAUGGCCAUUGCCUGCGGAAGCCGUGCUGGGCAGAGCAGAUACUACGUUUUACGCCGGUGCCGUCGUCUAUGGUCGUUUACAUCAGGGUGUGGGUUGAUCGACUAUAUAUACUACGGGGUAAAUUUCGUUCCCUUCUGAGCAGAGAACGUUGCUUCUCCCCUGCCUUGCCCUGUCAUUACUCCAAAGGAUGCCCAAUUCUUCACCCUUUUCUGAAUUUGCCCACAAGAAAUGGGCAUGCUCUCACUUUUUGCCAUCUUCUUUUUGGCAAAGAUUUGCAACACUUCACCGGC
RNAcentral lists this long non-coding RNA (452 nucleotides) under Hordeum vulgare. RNAcentral's name for it is "long non-coding RNA (HVUL_LNC011615)". Lineage: Eukaryota; Viridiplantae; Streptophyta; Magnoliopsida; Poales; Poaceae. The record is from RNAcentral.